Molecule: ribosomal RNA, 255 nt
Filed under: eubacterial soil DNA clone S-8
Lineage: Bacteria
Description: partial 16S ribosomal RNA
Rfam family: Bacterial small subunit ribosomal RNA
Source: RNAcentral
CGAAGCUAACGCGUGAAGUUGACCGCCUGGGGAGUACGGCCGCANGAUUAAAACUCAAAGGAAUUGACGGGGGCCCGCACAAGCGGUGGAUGAUGUGGAUUAAUUCGAUGCCAACGCGAAANACCUUACCUACGCUUGACAUGUCCNAAAGNCCACAGAGAUGAGGGCGUGNCCGAAAGGGAAUCGGAACANAGGUGCCUGCAUGGUUGNCGNCAGCUCGUNUCGCGAGAUGUUGGNUUAUGUCCCNCAACGNGC